GUGGCUUCCGGUGCUUUGACAAAACCUCAGAUACAUGGCCUUCUGGCUGAGCAUCUGUGAUUUCAUAUUGUUGGCGCAUUUGUUAUUUCCCUGGGGGUUGCAACCCUCUGUAACUUUGCUGUGGCUGAACUAAAAAAGAAGGCAUACACGGAUUCUACAGAAAUUAUGAUUCUAUGAAAGAUUUUGAGGAGAUGAGGUAUCUUUCAGAGUG
This 211-nucleotide long non-coding RNA is filed under the name Homo sapiens (human). RNAcentral's name for it is "non-protein coding lnc-DLG5-2:1". Lineage: Eukaryota; Metazoa; Chordata; Mammalia; Primates; Hominidae. The record is from RNAcentral.